CCACGUCCUGGCGGCUAGAGGGCCCCCUGCGGCGCGCGACUGCUCCGGAGGACCGACCUGGAGCGCCCUCGCCGGGAGCGGCGGCCUCACCGGCUCGGGCCCCUCAGACCUCCACAGCCUGCUGCGCCUGGCGUGCGUCUACGCGGGGGCCGCUGAGGCCAUUCUCAGUCGACCCCGCGGGGAACCGAGAGGGAGAACACAAACAGCAGGAGUAGCAGGCAGAGGGAGAGAAAGAAGCAGGCUUCCUACCAAGCAGAGAACCUGAUGUGGGGCUCGAUCCCAGGACCCCAGCAUCAUGACCUGAGCCGAAGUCAGUGCUUAAUCACCUGAGCCACCCAGAGAGAGACAGAAAGAGAGAACACAAGCAGGGGGAACGGAAGGCAGAGGGAGAGGGAGAAGCAGGCUCCCCACUGAGCAAGGAGCCCGACGGGGGACUUAAUCCCAGGGACUCGAUCCCAGGACUCCGGGAUCAUGACUCGAGCGGAAGGCAGAAGCUUAACCAACUGAUCUACCCAGGCGUCUCAAUUAAGGAGCAUUUUAAAAAUCACUGGAAUCAUCUGAUCUUUAAAGGGCACAAUAUUUGAUGCAUAUCAAUAACACCUACCUUUUGGAUUGUCUUGUUUAGACUUCUAGAUCAUCAUUUAAUUUUGGCCACUGGAUCUGUUUUGGAUUGGAAAAGGACUCCUCAAGAAAUGACAGUCCCUUGGUGCUGCAUUUAAUUGGAGACGUGCUCAGAGACGGUCGAGAAUAAUUAUGACGCCUGAAAUGUCAAGCUCUUCAAAAGUCUGCCAUUGCCCUCCCUGCCACCCUGAACAGCUCUGGGAGCCCAAACCAUGCAGCCCCCCAGAGCAUACCUGGGAAAUCUGAGUGACAUUGACAUGCAGGCAGCAGGAAGACGCACAGUGAACCGAGAAGCCUGUGCUGAGCUCAGAAGAGGUCCAUCUCCAGACCCUUCUCAGACUCUGGACCAUUCCAUGCCACAGGCUCCCAAGACUGCUUGUUUUAUCAUCCUGCAUAUGCUUAAGGACUUGUCUUCCUCAAUGGGCCAAAAUCCCUUGAAGAUCUCUGGAGAGAUGGACUCCAUGUCAAGAACCCCUGGCUUAGAAUGCUCGCUCUUCUCCCAUAAGCCCUCACAGCUCAUUCCUUCACCUCCUUUUAUGCAGAAGCCACCUUCUCAGGCAGCUCUUCCCCAAGGACUCUAUUUAAAUUGCAUGACCACAUUCCCUAUCCCUCUUUCCUACUUAAUUUUUUCGGAAUAGCAUUAACUAACCUUCAAAUAUAUUUUACUUUAAAAAGUUUUGUGUAUCUCCUUCCACUAGAAAGUGAGUUCCAUGAGAGUAGGCAUUUUUGUCUGUCAUUUUUGUGCUGUGUCCUCAGCCCCUAGAAUGGUGCAUGGUAUACCAGAGGCACUCAAUAAAUAUUUGUUGACAAAAGUGAAUGAUUACAUCUCCAAGAACUUUGUUUCUUCUUUUUUUUCUGUAAUAAGUUAAUGAUUUGUGAGGCUUUUACUAAAGACUAAGGAGUUAUAAUUAGCUCCAUUGCUAUUAUUCUGUUAACAUUUUCAAGGUUAACCUUAAACAGUAGCAGAGAACAGUGGGAAUCCAAGAAUUCUGAUGGAGCUUCCAGUCCUAAACAAGAAGUGUCUUCCAAGGACUCCUUAGGGGACCUGGGUCUCACCCAAAUUCAGUGAACCACCUUAGAGGCAAAAUGCUACCCACAAAAUUCUUUCUUGCUAUUAUAGCAAUCAGGCCCCCAUCCUCAAUCAAACCAAUAAUGCUAUUACUUUUUAUUUCUGGCAGUGGGGUAAAAUGGAAAAAAAUGUAGUCUUUGGGGUCGUGUGGACUAGGUGCCAAUUCUACCACCACUUGCUAGCUUGUGUGACUGUUAGUAAGUCACCAAACCUUUCUCAAUAGGUAAAAUGGGAUUUUUGUGAGGAUGAAAUGGAACGACUUGCAUACUGCACAGCACAGAGCAGGUGCUCUAUAAAUGGUCAUCUCCCUCUUCCUUC
Long non-coding RNA from Mirounga angustirostris (Northern elephant seal), 2008 nucleotides. RefSeq lists it as uncharacterized. The transcript is spliced from 7 exons. The record is from RefSeq and is a predicted model, not a curated record. Lineage: Eukaryota; Metazoa; Chordata; Mammalia; Carnivora; Phocidae.